CUCUAGAUCACUUGGGUCCAAAAACGCUAGAUUAUAAAAUCCUGAUGUGACUUGAUACUACAAAUAGAAUAUGUCUUGUGAUGUAAUACUACAAAUAGAAUGACAAACUUCAAUGAAUUGAUAAAGUGUAAGGAUAGUGUUUAAAGUUGCUUCAUGUGUAGAAGCUGAAUUACUUUAGUUUAUACACUGUAAUGUCGAUAUCACAUGUUGAUGACUUUAAUACUAGCAACUUGCAAUAAGUGGUCUGUCCUGCUUGUUUAUAAUACUUUAGAGUUUGGACAUUAGAACAUUGUAAUUGCCUGACAGAGACUGUUAGGGCCUGUUUGUAUGGAAGCCGGGCUGGCCCGCUUAGCGAGAUAGCCCGGUAAGCAGGAUGAUUUCUCUUGUGUUUAUUUGAGAAAAUUUCAUCCCGCUUACCGGGACAAUUUUGUUGUUUUGACAUUGUUUUGACAGUUGUUAAAAAUAGCUUGCGGCAGUAUCAUUGAACUUUCAUCCUGGCAACUGGGCUAGCCUGCUUGUGAUUGUUUAUAUGGAGAAAUUUCCAUCCUGGUCUCUGCAACAGGGCCUCCCGCUUGUACAUAGAAACAAUUUUAAUUAUAAUUUUUACUAUAAAAAUAAGUAGACAGCGAGAUCUCACUUACCGGGCUGUCUCACUUAGCGGGCCAGCCAGUUUCGAUAUAAACAGGUCCUUAAAAGCUGCAAGUUUCCUUAAAGCAAUAUCGUCUAUAUCACAGAAUAGAGUUUCUGUAGUGACAUACUUUGUGUGUUUUCUGUUUUUAAUUAAAGUGUCUUAUGUUUGUAAUAUUUUUGUACAAUACCUUUUUGAAAUUGUUGAUACUGGUCUCAUUGUAACUCAGUUAUUCCUUCUCAAGAAAAAUAAAAAAACAAAGCUGUGUGGGUGUGUUUUUGCUCUAGUUUUUACAUCUACAUGAUUCAUGUACAAUUAAUGUACAUUUAAAUUAGCUUUGUUCAAUGAAUACAGGUGUGAUUCAAAUAUCAUUCCUGUCUGGUACUUGGGUCAAAUAGACAUAAGCAUACCAAAUCAUGCUAUGAAUUGAAAUACAAGUAUAGGGUGUGUAUUGUUUAAAUAAAUUUAUUUUCCAGUUAACCCAGUAAGCUGCAUUGUGCCCCAAUGCACCCUACUUUACUAGUUUAUUUCACUUCAUCUAAUGCCAGAUGAUUUUACUUAUCGAGGGAGAGUGCUGCUGCUCAUUGAGCUCUGAUUGAGUUCAC
This is a non-coding RNA of Paramuricea clavata, 1233 nucleotides long. Lineage: Eukaryota; Metazoa; Cnidaria; Anthozoa; Malacalcyonacea; Plexauridae. The record is from the annotation of a GenBank genome assembly.